GACGAGGGGUCCUAGCGUUGUUCGGAAUCACUGGGCGUAAAGCGUAUGUAGGUGGCUAAGCAAGUCAGGUGUGAAAGCCCGGGGCUCAACCCCGGAACUGCAUUUGAAACUGCUUAGCUUGAAUAUCGGAGAGGAUAGCGGAAUUCCUGGUGUAGUGGUGAAAUACGUAGAUAUCAGGAGGAACAUCGGUGGCGAAGGCGGCAUCCUGGACCAACACUGACGCUGAGGAGCGAAAGCCAGGGGAGCAAACGGG
This 253-nucleotide ribosomal RNA is filed under the name uncultured bacterium. RNAcentral describes it as "partial 16S ribosomal RNA". It matches the Rfam family "Bacterial small subunit ribosomal RNA", at positions 524 to 776 of the family's 1533-position model. The record is from RNAcentral.